Molecule: long non-coding RNA, 736 nt
Organism: Lagenorhynchus albirostris (white-beaked dolphin)
Lineage: Eukaryota; Metazoa; Chordata; Mammalia; Artiodactyla; Delphinidae
Exons: 3
Source: RefSeq, a predicted model, not a curated record
GUCGGCCUGGAGGGAGACGGAGCCGGUCCAUUUGGGGGAAACCCGGGGAAGGAGCACCCAUUCUCACACACAAUCCAGCCCUGACUUUGCAGCACUCAUCCCAUGGAAAGACACAGAGAAACACUAUCUGCUGUAAGCAAAGCACUUGGGUACAAGGCACGUCAAAGCUGUCAAGCUCUACUGGAAUCUACUCAGAACACGCAGAAUGCCAGCUUUUCUUCCCACUUGAUGUCACUGGGAAAGGUCUUAAAUCAGAUUAAAGGUGGUGAUGGUCUUCUCACACUCUUGUUCUCAUUCCACGGUUACAGACUUGGCCAGAUUUCUGGGGAAGUCAACCUAAAAUGACAGAAAGUAGCUGCUCAGGACCCCACAAGUCUCAGCAACACACUGUGUUUAUAAAGCCUACUCUCAGAGUACUUGACGACAAGGAGACAGGUGUUCCUGGGCACCUCCAACCAUGAGCUCCUUGAGACCUGCAUCUUGGAAGCAGUUCCUUAUUCCAGAAACUUCACUGAACUGUACAAUGUUUAGUUUAUACAAUAAAUAUUUAUGGGGCACCUGUGUCACGCAGUGUUAACACUAUUAAAAGGAUAUGAUUCAUGCUAUUAAAAACAGCUAGCUCAAUUUGUACUGUUAAAAAUUCACUUUUCUUGGAAGUAGAUGCACUAAAUUAUUGGUUAAGGGUGGGGACUGGGAAGGAAAUGUGACUGAGGAUGGUUGAUAAAGUAGCCUUCAA